RNAcentral lists this transfer RNA (68 nucleotides) under Bos taurus (domestic cattle). It matches the Rfam family "tRNA". From Rfam's summary of the family: Transfer RNA (tRNA) molecules are approximately 80 nucleotides in length. Their secondary structure includes four short double-helical elements and three loops (D, anti-codon, and T loops). RNAcentral also lists the same sequence under 5 other names. Lineage: Eukaryota; Metazoa; Chordata; Mammalia; Artiodactyla; Bovidae. The record is from Rfam by way of RNAcentral.
CCUGAUGGCUCAAUGGUAAAGAAUCUGCCUGCGAUGCAGGAAACCCAGGUUCAAUCCCUGGGUCAGGA